RNAcentral lists this ribosomal RNA (1467 nucleotides) under Triticum aestivum (bread wheat). RNAcentral's name for it is "partial small subunit ribosomal RNA". The record is from RNAcentral. Lineage: Eukaryota; Viridiplantae; Streptophyta; Magnoliopsida; Poales; Poaceae.
AUGCAAGAGAAGAAAGUUGUUGCUUAUACCUCUCGCCAGUUGAAGCCUAAUGAGAAGAACUACCCCACUCAUGAUCUCGAGUUGGCGGCAGUUGUGCAUGCUCUUUUGACUUGGAGACAUCUUCUAUUGGGAGGAAAAGUGGACAUUUUUACUGAUCACAAGAGUCUCAAGUACAUCUUCACUCAGACUAAUCUCAACCUCAGGCAAACGAGAUGGGUCGAAAUGAUUCAAGAGUAUAAUCCGAGUAUUGAGUAUACUCCAGGCAAGGCCAAUGUGAUUGCUGACGCAUUGAGCAGAAAGGCUUACUGCAACAGUCUGAUUCUUAAGCCUUAUCAACCCGAGCUUUGUGAAGCUUUCCGCAAACUUAAUCUGCAAGUUGUUCCCCAAGGUUUCCACGCCAACCUUCAAGUCUCUCCUACCUUGGAAGAUCAGAUUUGCCAAGCCCAGCUUCUUGAUGCUAUGGUGAAAAAGGUGAAGAUUGGGAUUGCCAAGAGUCAGUCCAAGUACAAGUGCUACCGCCUUGAUGACAAGGACACUCUCUUUUUCGAGGAUCGUAUUGUUGUACCCAAAGGUGACCUCCGUAAAGUGAUCUUGAACGAGGCUCACAAUUCUCUUCUCUCCAUCCACCCUGGGAGCACGAAGAUGUAUCAGGACCUUAAGCAAGCUUAUUGGUGGACUCGAAUGAAGCGCGAGAUUGCUCAAUUCGUGAAUGAAUGUGAUGUCUGCAGAAGAGUGAAGGCAGAACACCAAAGGCCAGCUGGUCUCCUCCAACCUCUUGCCAUUCCAGAAUGGAAGUUUGACCACAUUGAAAUGGACUUCGUGACUGGGUUUCCAAAGUCCAAGCAUGGCAAUGAUGCUAUAUUCGUUGUCAUCGACAAACUCACCAAAGUGGCUCACUUUCUGCCUAUCAAAGAGUCGAUCACUGCAGCUCAAUUGGCGGAACUCUAUACCUCUCGUACUGUCUCUCUGCACGGUAUUCCACAAGUGAUCUCUUCAGACCGUGGCAGCAUCUUUACAUCCAAGUUUUGGGAUUCUUUUCAGAAGGCCAUGGGCACCAACAUCCGCUUCAGCACAGCUUUCCAUCCUCAAACUAGCGGUCAAGUCGAGCGUGUCAACCAGAUUCUUGAAGAUAUGCUCAGGGCUUGUGUGAUCUCCUUCGGCAUGAAGUGGGAGGAUUGUCUUCCUUAUGCUGAAUUCUCCUACAACAACAGUUUUCAAGCAAGUUCGGGCAAGGCCCCGUUCGAAAUUCUGUAUGGCAGGAAGUGCUGUACCCCUCUCAACUGGUCUGAAACCGGUGAACGUCAGCUUUUGGGUAAUGACUUAAUCACAGAGGCAGAGGAAAUGUGCAAAGUCAUUGAGAUAACCUCAAAGCAGCCCAAUCCCGUCAGAAGAGUUACUAUGAUAGUAAGCACCGUGAUUUGGCUUUCGAGAUCGGAUAUCAUGUUUACCUCCGCGUCUCUCCUAUGA